UGGUUUGAGAGGAUGAUCAGUCACACUGGAACUGAGACACGGUCCAGACUCCUACGGGAGGCAGCAGUGGGGAAUAUUGCACAAUGGAGGAAACUCUGAUGCAGCAACGCCGCGUGGAGGAUGACACAUUUCGGUGCGUAAACUCCUUUUAUAUAGGAAGAUAAUGACGGUACUAUAUGAAUAAGCGCCGGCUAACUCCGUGCCAGCAGCCGCGGUAAUACGGAGGGCGCAAGCGUUACUCGGAAUCACUGGGCGUAAAGAGCGUGUAGGCGGAUAGAUAAGUCAGAAGUGAAAUCCUAUGGCUCAACCAUAGAACUGCUUUUGAAACUGUUUAUCUAGAGUGUGGGAGAGGUAGAUGGAAUUUCUGGUGUAGGGGUAAAAUCCGUAGAGAUCAGAAGGAAUACCGAUUGCGAAGGCGAUCUACUGGAACAUAACUGACGCUGAGACGCGAAAGCGUGGGGAGCAAACAGGAUUAGAUACCCUGGUAGUCCACGCCCUAAACGAUGUUCACUAGUUGUUGUGAGGCUUGACCUUGCAGUAAUGCAGUUAACACA
RNAcentral lists this ribosomal RNA (554 nucleotides) under uncultured Arcobacter sp. RNAcentral describes it as "bacterial SSU rRNA". It matches the Rfam family "Bacterial small subunit ribosomal RNA", at positions 288 to 859 of the family's 1533-position model. The record is from RNAcentral. Lineage: Bacteria; Pseudomonadati; Campylobacterota; Epsilonproteobacteria; Campylobacterales; Arcobacteraceae.